UGGGGAAUAUUGGACAAUGGGGGCAACCCUGAUCCAGCCAUGCCGCGUGAGUGAUGAAGGCCUUAGGGUUGUAAAGCUCUUUCGCCGGUGAAGAUAAUGACGGUAACCGGUAAAGAAGCCCCGGCUAACUUCGUGCCAGCAGCCGCGGUAAUACGAAGGGGGCUAGCGUUGUUCGGAAUUACUGGGCGUAAAGCGCGCGUAGGCGGGUCAUUAAGUCAGGGGUGAAAUCCCGGGGCUCAACCUCGGAAUUGCCUCUGAUACUGGUGGCCUUGAGUCCGUGAGAGGUGAGUGGAACUCCGAGUGUAGAGGUGAAAUUCGUAGAUAUUCGGAAGAACACCAGUGGCGAAGGCGGCUCACUGGCACGGUACUGACGCUGAGGUGCGAAAGCGUGGGGAGCAAACAGGAUUAGAUACCCCCGUAGUCC
Molecule: ribosomal RNA, 424 nt
Filed under: uncultured prokaryote
Description: bacterial SSU rRNA
Rfam family: Bacterial small subunit ribosomal RNA
Source: RNAcentral